RNAcentral lists this ribosomal RNA (1034 nucleotides) under uncultured bacterium. RNAcentral's name for it is "bacterial SSU rRNA". It matches the Rfam family "Bacterial small subunit ribosomal RNA", at positions 336 to 1393 of the family's 1533-position model. The record is from RNAcentral.
CUCCUACGGGAGGCAGCAGUGGGGGAUAUUGCACAAUGGGGGAAACCCUGAUGCAGCGACGCCGCGUGGAGGAAGAAGGUUUUCGGAUUGUAAACUCCUGUCGUUAGGGACGAUAAUGACGGUACCUAACAAGAAAGCACCGGCUAACUACGUGCCAGCAGCCGCGGUAAAACGUAGGGUGCAAGCGUUGUCCGGAAUUACUGGGUGUAAAGGGAGCGCAGGCGGGAAGACAAGUUGGAAGUGAAAACCAUGGGCUCAACCCAUGAAUUGCUUUCAAAACUGUUUUUCUUGAGUAGUGCAGAGGUAGAUGGAAUUCCCGGUGUAGCGGUGGAAUGCGUAGAUAUCGGGAGGAACACCAGUGGCGAAGGCGGUCUACUGGGCACCAACUGACGCUGAGGCUCGAAAGCAUGGGUAGCAAACAGGAUUAGAUACCCUGGUAGUCCAUGCCGUAAACGAUGAUUACUAGGUGUUGGGGGAUUGACCCCCUCAGUGCCGCAGUUAACACAAUAAGUAAUCCACCUGGGGAGUACGACCGCAAGGUUGAAACUCAAAGGAAUUGACGGGGGCCCGCACAAGCAGUGGAGUAUGUGGUUUAAUUCGAAGCAACGCGAAGAACCUUACCAGGUCUUGACAUCCGAUGCAUAGCACAGAGAUGUGUGAAAUCCUUCGGGACAUCGAGACAGGUGGUGCAUGGUUGUCGUCAGCUCGUGUCGUGAGAUGUUGGGUUAAGUCCCGCAACGAGCGCAACCCUUAUUGCCAGUUACUACGUUAAGAGGACUCUGGCGAGACUGCCGUUGACAAAACGGAGGAAGGUGGGGAUGACGUCAAAUCAUCAUGCCCUUUAUGACCUGGGCUACACACGUACUACAAUGGCGUUAAACAAAGAGAAGCAAGACCGCGAGGUGGAGCAAAACUCAAAAACAACGUCUCAGUUCAGAUUGCAGGCUGCAACUCGCCUGCAUGAAGUCGGAAUUGCUAGUAAUCGCGGAUCAGCAUGCCGCGGUGAAUACGUUCCCGGGCCUUGUACACACCGC